Canis lupus familiaris (dog) is the source of this 1754-nucleotide long non-coding RNA. RefSeq lists it as uncharacterized. Lineage: Eukaryota; Metazoa; Chordata; Mammalia; Carnivora; Canidae. The transcript is spliced from 4 exons. The record is from RefSeq and is a predicted model, not a curated record.
GUUGAGCUGCGAGCCAAACCAGCAUCUUUUUGUUCUGUUUUGGAACAUCAUUUUUUCUCGAAUUAGUGACAAGCUAUAGCUAGUAAGACUUGGGUGUCCGGCAGAAGUUUUCUCAAAAUGAUCCAAGUGAGCUAGAAAACAAGGGACACCACUGGCUGCCCAUCGAUUGUGGAAAACAUGUACGUGCCACAGUGGAAGUGCCAGCUUCCCAAUGCUUAAUAGACUUCUGGAUGAAACUGGGACAAUAUUAACAAAUGAGAGUCUUGGUGAGGUAGUAGAAUGAACUGUGUCCGUAUUUGGAAGAUCUGUGGGACUCAGAGAACCACUAUUCUCCCCGUGACCGAUGUGCAAGGACAUAAAAUCAUUCUUGCAUACAGAGCCGAUCAAAGCGCAGUGGAGAGCAACAGACGUGAACAGAGUACAAGAGGUCACGGAUAUGGCUUCAGACUCCACGUUACAAAUAAUCUUUGGGAAACCACCACGUGUUGCAUUUUGCUGUAUUACCAAGGAGGAGUUCCACGAACACACGGAAAGGCCAUUAAACCAUUCCUCUAUUGUCCAACUACGUAUCUGCGGAAGACCAAGUUUUCAUCAUGUACUUCAACCCAAACUAGUUAUCCAAGAUGCCUGUGGAUGAAGGUAGAGGCAGACAGGAGAGCCCGGCUGUCUCACAGGUGAUAGUCUUCUGUGACAGGGCUGAACAACUGACCUGCAGCCUGGUCUACUUUCCGGCACCUACAAAAUGACCACCGGAGGCGACUAGGUGACAAAGGCUGAGCUCCCUUAGAAAGGCCAUCCUCCUGAGGCAAGGUCUCUGAGAGCUGGAUCUGCCGUCUUUCCUUUCCAGGCUACAACCGCAGGUCUGAGGAGUUACAACGGAGACGGGGAGGCCUACAGAGCCUAAAAUGGUUACUCUCUGGCCCUUCCUGGAUGAAGUGUGCGCACCCUGGAUAUGGAACGUGGCUACUUAAGACCUGGAUGCAGAAUGAAGUCAAUGCACUCAAUCAAAUCAGCCUACAGAAGAGGAAGUCCGUUUCUUUUCUCUUUUUACACGUGUCUGGAAGAGAGAGGUCCCUGGGCUGCCUGGGGAGGAAAAUCCUCCACCCGGGUACUGUCGUCCUGCUACGUAAUCUGCCACUGGGUGGCAAAAUCACAGGAAAACGUUGCUGUAAACUGCGAGAGGCUUCCUCCCAACAGCACUAUUACGUGAUCAUGCCCCGCAAACUUCAUCUCUAAUCGUCACGGAGAUCAAUCCUUACUUCUAUCUCCAUUCCUCAGCUUCAUAAACACUCCCCAGCGCUCCUCUUAUUGCUAUUCGGUCAUUCAUAUAAAUCAAAAAUAUAGAUCUACAAGAAAAAGCAAGGUUUUUGUUUGGUUCUGUUGGUGAGGGGCGGUAGCUUGCAUGCAGGCAUUGAAUCAAGCUGCCAAUUGUAACAUUAAAAUGCUAUGUACGUAAAACCCCACCGAAACACAUACCUAAAAAAAUGGUUAAGAUGGCAAGUUUCAUGUUAUGCAGAUGUUUUUGUCAUGCAGAUUUUAAUCAUACUUCGAAGUUUAAUUGAUUCUAAAAAAUGAAAUUGCUUUGCUUAGGAUAUAAUUGCUCUGCUUAGGAUAUGAUGUCAUUAGGGUAUGGGGUACAGAAGAAAUUCCCAAUAAAAACAGGCAGCCUCUAUCCAAGCCUGCUGUGAGGCUCAAAUGCCUGAAAUUGCCAUGUUUGUAGGUGUAAAAUGGUUGACUAUUUCGGCAAUUUUAGA